GUGCUUCUGUGAUGUUUUAGCACUGGGCUCUGAACUCAUGUGAAGACACAGUGCAGUUCUGCUCCUGACAUGGCAGAAUCUGAGAAGUGC
Molecule: small nucleolar RNA, 90 nt
Organism: Cyprinus carpio carpio
Lineage: Eukaryota; Metazoa; Chordata; Actinopteri; Cypriniformes; Cyprinidae
Source: Ensembl